Molecule: ribosomal RNA, 253 nt
Filed under: uncultured bacterium
Lineage: Bacteria
Description: partial 16S ribosomal RNA
Rfam family: Bacterial small subunit ribosomal RNA
Source: RNAcentral
UACGGGGGGGGCAAGCGUUGUUCGGAAUUACUGGGCGUAAAGGGCGCGUAGGCGGCCAACUAAGUCGGACGUGAAAUCCCAAGGCUCAACCUUGGAACUGCGUCCGAUACUGGAUGGCUUGAAUCCGGGAGAGGGAUGUGGAAUUCCAGGUGUAGCGGUGAAAUGCGUAGAUAUCUGGAGGAACACCGGUGGCGAAGGCGGCAUCCUGGACCGGUAUUGACGCUGAGGCGCGAAAGCCAGGGGAGCAAACGGG